GAUGAACGCUGGCGGCGUGCCUAAUACAUGCAAGUCGAGCGAACAGACGAGGAGCUUGCUCCUCUGACGUUAGCGGCGGACGGGUGAGUAACACGUGGAUAACCUACCUAUAAGACUGGGAUAACUUCGGGAAACCGGAGCUAAUACCGGAUAAUAUAUUGAACCGCAUGGUUCAAUAGUGAAAGACGGUUUUGCUGUCACUUAUAGAUGGAUCCGCGCCGCAUUAGCUAGUUGGUAAGGUAACGGCUUACCAAGGCAACGAUGCGUAGCCGACCUGAGAGGGGGAUCGGCCAAAAUGGAACUGAGACACGGUCCAGACCCCUACGGGAGGCAGCAGGAGGGAAUCUUCCGCAAUGGGCGAAAGCUUGACGGAGCAACGCCGCGGGAGUGAUGAAGGUUUUCGGAUCGGAAAACUCUGUUAUUAGGGAAGAACAAAUGUGUAAGUAACUAUGCACGUCUUGACGGUACCUAAUCAGAAAGCCACGGCUAACUACGUG
This 497-nucleotide ribosomal RNA is filed under the name uncultured bacterium. RNAcentral describes it as "partial 16S ribosomal RNA". It matches the Rfam family "Bacterial small subunit ribosomal RNA", at positions 28 to 507 of the family's 1533-position model. The record is from RNAcentral.